UCUUCCGCAAUGGACGAAAGUCUGACGGAGCAACGCCGCGCGAGUGAUGAAGGUUUUCGGAUCGUAAAACUCUGUUGUGAGGGAAGAACAAGUACCGUUCGAAUAGGGCGGCACCUUGACGGUACCUAACCAGAAAGCCACGGCUAACGACGUGCCAGCAGCCGCGGUAAUACGUAGGUGGCAAGCGUUGUCCGGAAUUAUUGGGCGUAAAGCGCGCGCAGGCGGUUUCUCAAGUAUGAGGUGAAAGCCCCCGGCUAAACCGGGGAGGGUCAUUGGAAACUGGGGAACUUGAGUGCAGAAGAGGAGAGUGGAAUUCCACGUGUAGCGGUGAAAUGCGUAGAGAUGUGGAGGAACACCAGUGGCGAAGGCGACUCUCUGGUCUGAAACUGACGCUGAGGCGCGAAAGCGUGGGGAGCGAACAGG
This 423-nucleotide ribosomal RNA is filed under the name uncultured bacterium. Its description in RNAcentral is "bacterial SSU rRNA". It matches the Rfam family "Bacterial small subunit ribosomal RNA", at positions 362 to 776 of the family's 1533-position model. The record is from RNAcentral.